RNAcentral lists this ribosomal RNA (472 nucleotides) under uncultured bacterium. RNAcentral describes it as "partial 16S ribosomal RNA". It matches the Rfam family "Bacterial small subunit ribosomal RNA", at positions 28 to 507 of the family's 1533-position model. The record is from RNAcentral.
GACGAACGCUGGCGGCGUGCUUAACACAUGCAAGUCGAACGCUGAAGCUUGGUGCUUGCACUGGGUGGAUGAGUGGCGAACGGGUGAGUAAUACGUGAGUAACCUGCCCUUGACUCUGGGAUAAGCCUGGGAAACUGGGUCUAAUACUGGAUACGACAUGCCACUGCAUGGUGGUGUGUGGAAAGGGUUUUACUGGUUUUGGAUGGGCUCACGGCCUAUCAGCUUGUUGGUGGGGUAAUGGCCUACCAAGGCGACGACGGGUAGCCGGCCUGAGAGGGUGACCGGCCACACUGGGACUGAGACACGGCCCAGACUGCUACGGGAGGCAGCGGUGGAGAAUAUUGCACAAUGGGCGGAAGCCUGAUGCAGCGACGCCGCGUGAGGGAUGACGGCUUUCGGGUUGUAAACCUCUUUCAGCACGGAAGAAGCGAGAGUGACGGUACGUACAGAAGAAGCGCCGGCUAACUACGUG